This is a non-coding RNA of Monodelphis domestica (gray short-tailed opossum), 2363 nucleotides long. The record is from RefSeq and is a predicted model, not a curated record. NCBI's taxonomy places the organism in Eukaryota, Metazoa, Chordata, Mammalia, Didelphimorphia, Didelphidae.
UCCUGUGAGGGCCUCUGUAGUUCAAGAUGGCUACCCGCAACUCUAACUGCCAGCGACAGAGACAGAAGAUUCAGCCAGCUUCUUUCCUUUCCUGACUCAGCCAACUGUAAUACGGAGGUGCUUUGAAUAAAAAUAAAGUUUUGCUCACGGAUAGAUGGAAAAGUAUUAAGAAACAGCUGGAAAUGAUGGUAGCAGAGAGAACCAAAGUAACUAAAGAUGAAAAAGACUCAUUAAAGGAACUGCUUUUCAUUCCCUUACCACUGUAAGGACUGCAACUAAUAAAGAGCAAAAAGCAGAAAGAAGAGAGAUGAGUGAGCCACAAUGAAUGCUUACCCAAAACCCAAUCAGUUGGUGAACUUUUCAAGAUGGGGCACUAUGGAAAUGAAAACUUUUCUCAAGCAGGAUGAUUGACAGAAGAGACUUUAGGGAUCUGAGCAGCCCCUUGAGAUCAGAUCAAUGAGUUUUGUAAUUAAGGUUUUCAAGACUUUUACUUUUUUUUUUUAAAAGUGUCAACUGGAUUUUCUGCAAGUUUUAAGUUUGCUUGUGCCCCUUGAGAACUCAAGUACCAGACACACCUGUUUUCCACUGAACUAUAGACCUUUAAGUGUUUGGGAACCCCAGUCUGGGUGGGAUUAGUAGACAUAGUCAAAUGUUGAGUACCCUUAUUUUUUAGCUUCUCCCAUUGUAUUAAAGUUCUCUCUCAGGAAACCCAGCUCUUGGCUUGACCCUUUCCUUUUGUAUUCAUUGUAGUUUGACCUCUCCCUGGUACCCCAGCUGCUGACCACAACCUCUUUGCAGCUUGCUUGCAGCUUGUCUAUGCAUGCUUGUUUUAUCAAGUUCUCCAGCGGGUAUAACAGACCCCAAGUUCUGCCACUCUUUGCUUUUUGUAGAAUCAUCUUGGGGGUGCUGCAUUUUCCCAAAGAUACGGACUCCAGAGCUCCAGGGUGUUGACUCUGUGUAGUUUGUGGCACUUGGCUAUUGGACCUCUCUGUUUCCUGAUGCUGUUAAGGUCUGGAAUUUCACCCACCACCAAGGAAGACCUGUGGACAAUGCAAUCAGGCAAAGAAAGGGCCAUUUAUUACGGAACUGGUACGCGCACCAGUGGGAACCUCUGUCAUCCGAGUUCUGAGUUCCCUCCUAAAGAUUCAGUCUUAAAUACUUUUCAGCAUGAAUAGCCCCCCUCCCUUCCUCCUUCCAGUCCGUUAUCUGUUGCAUGCCCUUGUUGGAAAGUUGCUGGGUCUUUUUGCACCUGGGACCUUGGUCCUGACAAGUUUAUCUGUCUGUAGUGGGGACCUUGGUUAGGUCCGAAGUUUAUCUGUCUGUAGCUGAGGCCUUGGCAUUUUUCCUGGCUGAAUUUCUCAAGGCUUGGGCAAUUUUCAACUCAGAUCUCCCUCAAUGCAAGACUUGGUUUUUCUGACUACUUUAAUAGUUCUGUGUUUUUCCCAGGUUAACAUCCAAAUGGGGGCAGGAAAAGAGGAAAUAAGCAUUUAUUUUCUACAAUGUUCCAGGAACUGUGCUGGAUGCUUUCCAAAGAUAAGCAUACCUCAGAGAUAUUAUGGGUUGUGUUCUAGACCACCACAAUAAAACAAAUAGAGAAAUAAGAUGAGUCACAUGAAGUUUUGGUUUUCAGUUGUCAACCUGAAAAAACAGAACCACCAAAGCAGGUACAAAAGAACAAUACUUAAUCAGGACAAGGGAGACAGUGUUCUUGUGGUCAUAGCAUAGCCAUACACACACAUACACCACACAGAGCCACCCAGCUUGAAGAUUCUGGGAACUCUGGGAACAAGAAUGGGAAUUUCCACUGAAAUAAAGAACUUGGGAUUCAAUUUAUUCCUUAUGCAGAAUAACCAAAGAGAAACCAUCGACUGAUUAAAGGGGAACUUGGGGAAGAGGUUGUAUGGAGUACCUGGAAGAGGCUUAAAUAUAAUAAAAGAAACUAAGAAGACAAAAGAGUAAAAAAGACUUGACUACCUCCACCGCUCCUGUCCAGUGUGUUCAACAAGUGCAUGCUUGAUGGCCUGUUCAGUCUAGGACAAGGAUCAGUCAGGGACUUUCUUGAAGGCAAGUUCCAAGGGGUCAAGGGUAAAUUUAGGGUUUGAUAAAAUAAGAUUGUCACAGGACAUUUAAAAUUAUAUUUAAACUAUACCGUACCUUGGUAAGUAUGCAAAUGCCAACAAAAACCAAAAACAAUGUACAAUAUUUUAAUUUAAAAUUCUUUUUUUCUUUUUUCCUCAUUUUUCAAAUAAUAAAAACUGGCUAAUUUCUGUAUCUAAUGGGAUCCUCCACUUAGAAGAGGAGUUCCUGUAUACCUGCCCUUUGUGUUAAGAUACAUUAAUACAUUAAAAGAUCCUUUGCUUCUU